GACGAACGCUGGCGGCGUGCCUAACACAUGCAAGUCGAACGGAAAGGCCCUGCUUUUGUGGGGUGCUCGAGUGGCGAACGGGUGAGUAACACGUGAGUAACCUGCCCUUGACUUUGGGAUAACUUCAGGAAACUGGGGCUAAUACCGGAUAGGAGCUCCUGCUGCAUGGUGGGGGUUGGAAAGGUUCGGCGGUUGGGGAUGGACUCGCGGCUUAUCAGCUUGUUGGUGGGGUAGUGGCUUACCAAGGCUUUGACGGGUAGCCGGCCUGAGAGGGUGACCGGCCACAUUGGGACUGAGAUACGGCCCAGACUCCUACGGGAGGCAGCAGUGGGGAAUAUUGCACAAUGGGCAGAAGCCUGAUGCAGCAACGCCGCGUGCGGGAUGACGGCCUUCGGGUUGUAAACCGCUUUCGCCUGUGACGAAGCGUGAGUGACGGUAAUGGGUAAAGAAGCACCGGCUAACUACGUG
RNAcentral lists this ribosomal RNA (468 nucleotides) under uncultured bacterium. RNAcentral describes it as "partial 16S ribosomal RNA". It matches the Rfam family "Bacterial small subunit ribosomal RNA", at positions 28 to 507 of the family's 1533-position model. The record is from RNAcentral.